GGCCCCAUCGUCUAAAGGCUUAGGACACGUCGUUCUCAGCGACGAAAUACCGGUUCGAAUCCGGUUGGGGCCAUCA
RNAcentral lists this transfer RNA (76 nucleotides) under Candidatus Nealsoniibacteriota bacterium. RNAcentral describes it as "Candidatus Nealsonbacteria bacterium tRNA-Glu". It matches the Rfam family "tRNA". From Rfam's summary of the family: Transfer RNA (tRNA) molecules are approximately 80 nucleotides in length. The record is from RNAcentral. Lineage: Bacteria; Candidatus Nealsoniibacteriota.